CGAUGGCGACCGGCGCACGGGUGAGUAACACGUAUCCAACCUGCCGUCUACUCUUGGACAGCCUUCUGAAAGGAAGAUUAAUACAAGAUGGCAUCAUGAGUCCGCAUGUUCACAUGAUUAAAGGUAUUCCGGUAGACGAUGGGGAUGCGUUCCAUUAGAUAGUAGGCGGGGUAACGGCCCACCUAGUCUUCGAUGGAUAGGGGUUCUGAGAGGAAGGUCCCCCACAUUGGAACUGAGACACGGUCCAAACUCCUACGGGAGGCAGCAGUGAGGAAUAUUGGUCAAUGGGCGCAGGCCUGAACCAGCCAAGUAGCGUGAAGGAUGACUGCCCUAUGGGUUGUAAACUUCUUUUAUAAAGGAAUAAAGUCGGGUAUGUAUACCCGUUUGCAUGUACUUUAUGAAUAAGGAUCGGCUAACUCCGUGCCAGCAGCCGCGGUAAUACGGAGGAUCCGAGCGUUAUCCGGAUUUAUUGGGUUUAAAGGGGGCGUAGAUGGAUGUUUAAGUCAGUUGUGAAAGUUUGCGGCUCAACCGUAAAAUUGCAGUUGAUACUGGAUAUCUUGAGUGCAGUUGAGGCAGGCGGAAUUCGUGGUGUAGCGGUGAAAUGCUUAGAUAUCACGAAGAACUCCGAUUGCGAAGGCAGCCUGCUAAGC
This 650-nucleotide ribosomal RNA is filed under the name uncultured Bacteroidales bacterium. Its description in RNAcentral is "bacterial SSU rRNA". It matches the Rfam family "Bacterial small subunit ribosomal RNA", at positions 86 to 734 of the family's 1533-position model. The record is from RNAcentral. Lineage: Bacteria; Pseudomonadati; Bacteroidota; Bacteroidia; Bacteroidales.